CUGGUUGAUCCUGCCAGUAGUCAUAUGCUUGUCUCAAAGAUUAAGCCAUGCAUGUCUAAGAAUAAACCCUUGAACGGUGAAUCUGCGAAUGGCUCAUUAAAUCAGUUAUUGUUUAUUUGAUGGUACCUUACUACUUGGAUAACCGUAGUAAUUCUAGAGCUAAUACAUGCGCCAAGCCCUGACUUCGGAAAGGGUGCAUUUAUUAGAUUCAAACCAUCGGUCCGUCUGGGCAACUGGGCGUGGCCUUUGAUGGUGAGUCAUAAUAACUUAGCGAAUCGAAUGGCCUUGAGCCGUCGAUGCUUCAUUCAAAUUUCUGCCCUAUCAGCUUUCGAUGGUAGGAUCUUGGCCUACCAUGGCUAUAACGGGUAACGGGGAAUUAGGGUUCGAUUCCGGAGAGGGAGCUUGAGAAACGGCUACCACAUCCAAGGAUGGCAGCAGGCGCGCAAAUUACUCAAUCCUGACACGGGGAGGUAGUGACAAUAAAUAACGAUGCUGGAUUAUUCUUAAUCCGGCAGUUGGAAUGAGAGUGAAUUAAAUCUCCACUCGAGGAACCAUUGGAGGGCAAGUCUGGU
This 572-nucleotide ribosomal RNA is filed under the name uncultured eukaryote. RNAcentral's name for it is "bacterial SSU rRNA". It matches the Rfam family "Eukaryotic small subunit ribosomal RNA", at positions 4 to 565 of the family's 1831-position model. The record is from RNAcentral.